AUUGAACGCUGGCGGCAGGCCUAACACAUGCAAGUCGAGCGGAUGAAGGGAGCUUGCUCCUGGAUUCAGCGGCGGACGGGUGAGUAAUGCCUAGGAAUCUGCCUGGUAGUGGGGGAUAACGUCCGGAAACGGGCGCUAAUACCGCAUACGUCCUGAGGGAGAAAGUGGGGGAUCUUCGGACCUCACGCUAUCAGAUGAGCCUAGGUCGGAUUAGCUAGUUGGUGGGGUAAAGGCCUACCAAGGCGACGAUCCGUAACUGGUCUGAGAGGAUGAUCAGUCACACUGGAACUGAGACACGGUCCAGACUCCUACGGGAGGCAGCAGUGGGGAAUAUUGGACAAUGGGCGAAAGCCUGAUCCAGCCAUGCCGCGUGUGUGAAGAAGGUCCGGAUUUUAAAGCACUUUAAGUUGGGAGGAAGGGCAGUAAGUUAAUACCUUGCUGUUUUGACGUUACCAACAGAAUAAGCACCGGCUAACUUCGUG
This 482-nucleotide ribosomal RNA is filed under the name uncultured bacterium. RNAcentral describes it as "partial 16S ribosomal RNA". It matches the Rfam family "Bacterial small subunit ribosomal RNA", at positions 30 to 507 of the family's 1533-position model. The record is from RNAcentral.